Molecule: ribosomal RNA, 253 nt
Filed under: uncultured bacterium
Lineage: Bacteria
Description: partial 16S ribosomal RNA
Rfam family: Bacterial small subunit ribosomal RNA
Source: RNAcentral
UACGUAGGGGGCAAGCGUUGUCCGGAAUCAUUGGGCGUAAAGCGCGUGUAGGCGGCCAGAAAAGUCCGCUGUGAAAACUCGAGGCUCAACUUCGAGCUGUCGGUGGAAACUUUCUGGCUAGAGUCCGGAAGAGGAGAAUGGAAUUCCUGGUGUAGCGGUGAAAUGCGCAGAUAUCAGGAGGAACACCGAUGGCGAAGGCAGGUCUCUGGGCCACUACUGACGCUGAGAAGCGAAAGCAUGGGGAGCGAACAGG